RNAcentral lists this ribosomal RNA (445 nucleotides) under uncultured bacterium. Its description in RNAcentral is "bacterial SSU rRNA". It matches the Rfam family "Bacterial small subunit ribosomal RNA", at positions 330 to 792 of the family's 1533-position model. The record is from RNAcentral.
UCCAGACUCCUACGGGAGGCAGCAGUGGAGAAUAUUGCACAAUGGGGGAAACCCUGAUGCAGCGACGCCGCGUGAGCGAUGAAGUAUUUCGGUAUGUAAAGCUCUCUCAGCAGGGAAGAAAAUGACGGUACCUGACUAAGAAGCCCCGGCUAACUACGUGCCAGCAGCCGCGGUAAUACGUAGGGGGCGAGCGUUAUCCGGAUUCACUGGGUGUAAAGGGAGCGUAGACGGCCAUGCAAGCCAGGGGUGAAAGCCCGGGGCCCAACCCCGGGACUGCCCUUGGAACUGCAUGGCUGGAGUGCGGGAGGGGCAGGCGGAAUUCCUGGUGUAGCGGUGAAAUGCGUAGAUAUCAGGAGGAACACCAGUGGCGAAGGCGGCCUACUGGGCACUAACUGACGCUGAGGCUCGAAAGCAUGGGUAGCAAACAGGAUUAGAUACCCUAGUA